UUAGCCUAAUUCAGUUCUACCUAGAACCAUCAGCAAACACUAAAUGUAUGUCAACAUUGGACUUCACUCAUGAUCCAAGACAUAACAUGUCAUGCUUUGACUCUGAUUAAAGAUAUUUGAAAUAGAUUAACACAGAAACAUAGGAUCUAUCAUACUCGAAGCAUCCACUUUUUAAACCUUGAUAUUUUGGUUCUUAUCACAAACUCUAAACAUGUGGCAGCAUAAGAUUUAUCCUCAACCUCGACUGAAACAGUUUUCAGUUCCGUCACUAACUCUGCUAGAAACUAACCUCUAAACUCUCAAAAUGUGUGGAGCAUCUCAUCCUUUAUAGCAAUCUGAUAUUGAAGAAAGCACUUCCUCCGGAAAAUUUAAUUUCCUUGAUACCUGAAGCAGAAUACUUAUCUACACAAGGGAGUGGUAACAUAUAAGAAAACUAACAUGAUAAGAUCAACGGAUUACCUCAGUCAGGAAAAAUGCAUACAUGUAUUCCCCUUCGUGCUUGUUUGCAACCUCCUCUCUUUGUUGCCAGGUUAAGUAAGACAAUCUGCAGUUAAAAAAACAAUAGGUGAAAAUCAUGAUUGUCUGCCCCAAUUGAUCGACCAAUGAUGGUCCGAUACAAAACAGAGGAAUAAAACAGCGACCAGGGUGAUCGUUCUAUGAAAUAUAUGAUAAUCUCAUAUACAUUCGUAGUACAAUCAAAAAUAAAAAUAUGAAUUAGAAGGAAAUGCAUUAUUUUCCAUUUUUUUAGUACUUCAGGAAUGUAGCAGGACAAGUUGUAUAACGUGACAUCAGACCAGCAACUUCCUUGAAUCAAGCAUGCUUAUAUCAUUUCAUAAUAUGAGCUUGCACACAAGACUCAAAUGGGAGCAUGAGGUAGGCCGUUUCUUCUAGCUAGUUAUAAGAUUGAUGUGGUGUAUUGAUAAAAAUAUAAUGGAAUUAUCACCAUGAACUAUACCCUAUGCAAGGUACAUAUACAGAAAGAACUACAGAGGGACCAUGUUAAAACUGUUCUACAAGGGGAGAUAAUAGAACAUCAUAGAAUUCUUCCUCCUGAAGCCUCGUAUAGUGCAUGCGCUUGAGAUCGCGCUUGAGAUCUCUUCCUAUCAAGCUCCUCACUAAAAGAGAAUAAUAAUAGUAAUAAAAAAUCACGGAUAAUAAACAGUACUGCAUCGGUAAUGUAUACAUAAGGGGCCUUGCAAACAGGUCUAAACUGCAGAAAGAUAUUUUUAUGUUCAUCCUCUUUUCUGGCAAGAGCUAUUAAUCGUUUCAAAUGGUGGAUUAUGUACAUUAUCAUUUGUGAUUAUAAUCACAAGGACAGUACAGUGUAAUAGAUAUAAAAACAGAACAUGGUAGUAUAAUUUAUUUUUAAUAGUCCCUGACAUGAAAACAUGACGAAGGGGGGAAUUUCCCUGUCCAACAAUGUCUACCGUCAUUAAAAAGAACGACAAUUGAUCACCAAACCUAUGGAGUACUGAAAUUUCCUUUCAUUCCAGAACUUGUACUAUUCAAGACAACAACAUUUCAAGUGCACUUAAAUAUGUUUAACAAAAUGAAUGGUAAAUAAAUAAACAUACCCAGGGGAUGCACCUUCUGCCCGUCCUUUAGAAUGUAGAGUGUUUGUCCAUAUGGUACACAUAUGACAUCUCUUCCUCAGAACUUAGUGUUUGCCCAUAUGGCACAAAAUAGCAUCGGAAGAUUUACAGCUCGACGCCACGGAGCAUAGACACAAAUUCACCUACAGGUUGGAAGCAUAGGUAAAAAAACUUGAUUUAAU
RNAcentral lists this long non-coding RNA (1774 nucleotides) under Triticum aestivum (bread wheat). Its description in RNAcentral is "long non-coding RNA (TAES_LNC022817)". The record is from RNAcentral. Lineage: Eukaryota; Viridiplantae; Streptophyta; Magnoliopsida; Poales; Poaceae.